This 221-nucleotide ribosomal RNA is filed under the name uncultured bacterium. RNAcentral's name for it is "partial 16S ribosomal RNA". It matches the Rfam family "Bacterial small subunit ribosomal RNA", at positions 110 to 334 of the family's 1533-position model. The record is from RNAcentral.
GUAAUGUCUGGGAAGCUGCUCGAUGGAGGGGGGUAACUACUGGAAACGGGGGCUAAUACCGCAUAAUGUCGCAAGACCAAAGAGGGGGACCUUCGGGCCUCUUGCCAUCGGAUGUGCCCAGAUGGGAUUAGCUAGUAGGUGGGGUAACGGCUCACCUAGGCGACGAUCCCUAGCUGGUCUGAGAGGAUGACCAGCCACACUGGAACUGAGACACGGUCCAG